GAUGAACGCUGGCGGCGUGCCCAAUACAUGCAAGUCGAGCGAACGGACGAGAAGCUUGCUUCUCUGACGUUAGCGGCGGACGGGUGAGUAACACGUGGAUAACCUACCUAUAAGACUGGGAUAACUUCGGGAAACCGGAGCUAAUACCGGAUAAUAUUUUGAACCGCAUGGUUCAAAAGUGAAAGACGGUCUUGCUGUCACUUAUAGAUGGAUCCGCGCUGCAUUAGCUAGUUGGUAAGGUAACGGCUUACCAAGGCAACGAUGCAUAGCCGACCUGAGAGGGUGAUCGGCCACACUGGAACUGAGACACGGUCCAGACUCCUACGGGAGGCAGCAGUAGGGAAUCUUCCGCAAUGGGCGAAAGCCUGACGGAGCAACGCCGCGUGAGUGAUGAAGGUCUUCGGAUCGUAAAACCCUGUUAUUAGGGAAGAACAUAUGUGUAAGUAACUGUGCACAUCUUGACGGUACCUAAUCAGAAAGCCACGGCUAACUACGUG
RNAcentral lists this ribosomal RNA (497 nucleotides) under uncultured bacterium. RNAcentral's name for it is "partial 16S ribosomal RNA". It matches the Rfam family "Bacterial small subunit ribosomal RNA", at positions 28 to 507 of the family's 1533-position model. The record is from RNAcentral.